ACUCUGUGUGCUCUGAGCUUCUUUACAGUGUUGUCUUGUGGCAUGGAGAUCAAGCAGCAUUGUACAGGGCUAUCACAGCACACUGAACA
This is a microRNA precursor of Cyprinus carpio carpio, 89 nucleotides long. Lineage: Eukaryota; Metazoa; Chordata; Actinopteri; Cypriniformes; Cyprinidae. The record is from Ensembl.